Molecule: long non-coding RNA, 249 nt
Filed under: Lathyrus oleraceus (garden pea)
Lineage: Eukaryota; Viridiplantae; Streptophyta; Magnoliopsida; Fabales; Fabaceae
Description: Pisum sativum (pea) long non-coding RNA (PSAT_LNC001466)
Source: RNAcentral
AGCAGAUACAGCAAACAUAUGUACAUGAAUGCAAUUAGGCAAAUAAGUAACUGUACAAAAGAAUGAACACUCAAUAAACAAGAAAACACACAAGCUAGGAGGGACUCGCUUAGGGAAGAUGGACCAAAGAUACAGCAAACAUAUGUACAUGAAUGCAAUUAGGCAAAUAAGUAACUGUACAAAAGAAUGAACACUCAAUAAACAAGAAAACACACAAGCUAGGAGGGACUCGCUUAGGGAAGAUGGACC